UUGUCUUUCUUUUACCACGACACAAGCUGCACUUUCAAUAAACACAUCCUAUGGAAGUUUAUGUUAAAGGUCGUAAAACUGUUGAACGCUCGUAAAUGCAGAGCUACUCCUAAAUUUAUGUUCUUCCUUACCUUAUCUUUUAAAAGCAUUCCAGACUGGAUGUAAACAUUCCCACAUCCACCUUUUCUUUGGUUCUUUGUGUGUGUGCGUAUAUAUACUCCUGUCUCCCACAAUAAACUUUGAACGUCUCACUGAACACUGACUUGUGUGCUUCAUUGAGGGGUUCCCUGAGCUCAGGCGGGACAGCAGAAUACAGGCGGAGCACUGAGUAGACCAAAGGGGGUCUACCAAAAUUCAAGAAAUCCUUACAAUUUGGGGGCUCUGUCCGGGAUACCUCUAAUCAGACUAAAGACGUGCUGCAGUGAUGUCCAACCCAUGACGUGACCUUGAUGGAGUGACGUGACACAGAGGGAUCGCCUUGGAUUGCCACGGGUCGACUCUUUACUUUUGCUAUUAGUGUACCAUUCCUGGUGGUGUCUUAGCGCCUCGUGAGGUGGGACGAGUGCAGAUUGGGCGUGCCCGCACUCUGAGCACUGUAGCGUCAAGAAAGGCAAUAGUUCACCACUAGUAGUUAUUUAUGAGUUUGACAUUGUGAACAAGGUUUUUGACACACACGAGUUUGCACUCAACCUGUCAUGUUUCUGUGUAUUUUUCGCUGUGUGCAAAAUUCUUUGUAUGAGUAUGUUUCAGGGUAUGUUCCUGCGCUGCGUCCGAUGGCCUAUUGUCCGCCGGCGACUUCUUAAAAGCUCUGAGUUUUAUUCAACGAUGUUUCUUAUGAAUAAAAGGGGGAAAUUGUAGGAAAUAUUUAAUUCUUAGUGUGUUUCAUGAUAUUCUGUGUUUGUGAGAAGAGAUUGUCUUUCUUUUACCACGACACAAGCUGCACUUUCAAUAAACACAUCCUAUGGAAGUUUAUGUUAAAGGUCGUAAAACUGCUGAACGCUCGUAAAUGCAGAGCUACUCCUAAAUUUAUGUUCUUCCUUACCUUAUCUUUUAAAAGCAUUCCAGACUGGAUGUAAACAUUCCCACAUCCACCUUUUCUUUGGUUCUUUGUGUGUGUGCGUAUAUAUACUCCUGUCUCCCACAAUAAACUUUGAACGUCUCACUGAA
This is a long non-coding RNA of Clarias gariepinus (North African catfish), 1167 nucleotides long. RefSeq lists it as uncharacterized. The record is from RefSeq and is a predicted model, not a curated record. NCBI's taxonomy places the organism in Eukaryota, Metazoa, Chordata, Actinopteri, Siluriformes, Clariidae. The transcript has 2 exons.